Molecule: long non-coding RNA, 1373 nt
Filed under: Daucus carota (carrot)
Lineage: Eukaryota; Viridiplantae; Streptophyta; Magnoliopsida; Apiales; Apiaceae
Description: long non-coding RNA (DCAR_LNC003589)
Source: RNAcentral
CUAAUUGUAAAACUGUGACAGCCCGAGAAUCCGGGGGCCUGGAUUCUGACGUCACCACAUAAAACCCAUUUUUAAACACUUUUGAAAUCCUGUAUAUAUUUUUUUUUUUUCAAAAGAUAAUAAAAUCAGAGAGUUUAAAACUUGAAAGCCAUAAUAAGAGAAUUUCAAGAGAACAUUUAAACUUUAAUAAAUGAUUCGAAAGAGAACAUUUAAACCCCCUAAAAGCAACAGGAUCGCAUUCAGGUUACAGUAUUGAAAUUAGAAUCUACCACUAUUAUUACACAACAUCUCUUACCAAAUCAGAUCAUCUUCGAUAAGAAGAAUCACUGCCAACUAUUCCAGCUAUGACUUACACUUGAAUCUCUAUAGCACAGCUUUAGCUUGCACCAACCUCAUCAACUUUCCUGAACACUCCUCGACCACUGGAUCCUCAACUCUGUCUCCUCGCCUAGCAUUAGCCUUAUUCACAAUCUCAAUCAAUCAUCUCAUCUUUAAGCCUUUCUGAAAUGGUUAGAAAGGAAUAGCAAGGGUGAGCAACAAUGCUCAGCAAGUAAUAAUAAACAAUGAUAGUUCUGAAAUGAUAUAACAGAAGUUCACGAGUUCAAGAUAUAAGAGGAUUCAACCUGAGUUCACGAGUUUAGGUAUUGUAUAAGAAUAUCACAAUACCUUGUAGCAAUUGAACACUGAGGAAUUCAAUCUUUCCAAAAGAAUUAUUGAAUUGGACUAUCACAUUUUAAUUAAAACCAAGGUUAGGCAGCUGAUCAGUUCCGCACUAACCCCGAGCAGGCCCCGCCAUGCUCUAUCACUGGAUCCAAGGCACUCAUUGGCCUAACAUGACCACGAAUCUGGUCCACAGGUUUAUAUAAAAACAAUAAUCCAAUUCUCUAAUUCAAUUCAAGAAGCCAAUGUAAAUUAACAGAACAUCAUCAUAAAUAUCAUCAACAACAGAAUAAUUCCAAUUCAAACUUUGAUAAUAAUCUAUUCAUAAAUCAUGAUCCAUCAUUUCAUAAAUCACAGUUCAGGAAAUCCUCAACUAUUCAGUAUCCUCCAUUAUCGGCUAAGCAACUGAAUUUAGCCUGCUAAACCAGCAUGACAAUGGCGGGUUGAAUAAUCAAGAAGAUCCCAAUUCAUUCAAAGCUCUAACUAUCACUGAGCAACACAUGCUUCAAUGACAAUCUGAACUUCGAAUUAAUUUGUAAAACGGAAAUUCUUUAGAAACUUGAAGAUUAGAAAGAAUGGGUCAGAAUACUCGCACUUUCGAACAUUGAAAAGAAAGGUAUGAAUACUUGAAACAUAUACCAAAGGAAUGGAUCAGAAUAUUUGCAAUAUAUCCAAGAGAAAGGUUUAGGAUACUUGCCUUAAAUCUGACUCCA